AGAGUUUGAUCAUGGCUCAGGAUGAACGCUAGCGGCAGGCUUAAUACAUGCAAGUCGAGGGGCAGCAUGGGUAGCAAUACCUGAUGGCGACCGGCAAACGGGUGCGGAACACGUACGCAACCUUCCCGAAACUGGUGAAUAGCCCUCCGAAAGGAGGAUUAAUACACCGUAACAUAAUGAAGUGGCAUCACUUUAUUAUUAUAGCUCCGGCGGUCUCGGAUGGGCGUGCGCCUGACUAGGUAGUUGGCGGGGUAACGGCCCACCAAGCCUUCGAUCAGUAACUGGUGUGAGAGCACGACCAGUCACACGGGCGCUGAGACACGGGCCCGACUCCUACGGGAGGCAGCAGUAAGGAAUAUUGGUCAAUGGACGCAAGUCUGAACCAGCCAUGCCGCGUGGAGGAUGAAGGUCCUCUGGAUUGUAAACUUCUUUUAUUUGGGAAGAAACCCACGAUUUCUAUUGUGGUUGACGGUACCAGAUGAAUAAGCACCGGCUAACUCCGUGCCAGCAGCCGCGGUAAUACGGAGGGUGCAAGCGUUAUCCGGAUUUACUGGGUUUAAAGGGUGCGCAGGCGGAUUGCCAAGUCCGUGGUGAAAUCUCUGGGCUUAACCCGGAAAUUGCCGUGGAUACUGGUAGUCUUGAAUGUUGUGGAGGUAAGCGGAAUAUAUCAUGUAGCGGUGAAAUGCUUAGAUAUGGUAUAGAACACCUAUUGCGAAGGCAGCUUACUACGCAAAUAUUGACGCUCAUGCACGAAAGCGUGGGGAUCAAACAGGAUUAGAUACCCUGGUAGUCCACGCCCUAAACGAU
This 807-nucleotide ribosomal RNA is filed under the name uncultured bacterium. Its description in RNAcentral is "bacterial SSU rRNA". It matches the Rfam family "Bacterial small subunit ribosomal RNA", at positions 8 to 810 of the family's 1533-position model. The record is from RNAcentral.